GGUCAUGAGCGUCAGCACCAAGCCCUGGCUGGCUGACCGGCAACCCUCGCAUCGCGGUGGGGUGCCCCAGGUGACGACCGGACCGGAAUGACGUUUUCGGUAAGCGCGAGGG
This is a non-coding RNA of Streptomyces incarnatus, 112 nucleotides long. The record is from Rfam. NCBI's taxonomy places the organism in Bacteria, Bacillati, Actinomycetota, Actinomycetes, Kitasatosporales, Streptomycetaceae.